Molecule: long non-coding RNA, 979 nt
Filed under: Gallus gallus (chicken)
Lineage: Eukaryota; Metazoa; Chordata; Aves; Galliformes; Phasianidae
Source: RNAcentral
AUUACUUAAAGUGUCUUCUUCCCUUUGUCGCACAACAGUUUAAAGCUUCAAAAACCUAAGCAAACACUUUCCAUAGGAUUAGACAAGCAGACAUGUUGCUUGAUUAUGAAAUGCUUUUGUGGGCUGAGCUAAGUGUUUUCUGUAUUAGAGCAAUUCACUUGUAUGCCACAGAAACUACUACAAGAGUGAAACCAAAGUAGAAGUGGUGCCAUUUUAGUAGUCUGUGCAAGAAUUCCACUCUACUUUCUGCAAGAUUCAUAUCUUGAAGACACGUUCUCCCAGUUGAUCACAUUCCAGAUAGCUUUCAAAUAAUCAGGUCGAACAUUUUUAUACUGAAGAUAAUAGGCAUGUUCCCAUACAUCGAUUCCCAGCAAUGGAAUGAGACCUGUUGUUCCUUGCAAAGGAUCUUGAUUUGCACAGGCUGCUAUUUGUAGACGUCCCUGCUCCUUAUUAUACCCAAGCCACCCCCAGCCUGAUCCUUGAACACCAACUGAUACAGCUGUUAGUUUCUCCUUGAAGUUUGCGAAGGAACCAAAGUCACGUUUGAUGGCUUCCAUCAAUUCUCCUUUAGGCUCCCCUCCUCCAUUGGGAGAAAGAUUUGUCCAGAAGAUGGUAUGAUUGAUAUGACCCCCACCAUUGAAUUUCAGUGCAGGCUGAAGCGACACCUGAGCUGUAACAUCACCUUUUGCCAGCGCCUCUUUGUAUUUCUCCUCUGUAACGUUCAGGUUGUUCACGUAGGUGGCGUGGUGUUUGCUGUGGUGCAGCUGCAUGAUCUCUGCACUGAUGUGGGGCUCCAGCGCGCCAUAGUCGUAGGGCAGGUCAGGAAGAGUGUGCUUCUGCCUUGCGACCAAGCACCCCAACGGUGCUACCAGCGCAGCCCUGCUUCUGCCCGCCGACGCCAGGCGGCACAACAUGGCGGCCAGCUCGCUGCGGCCACUGCACCGACGGCGCACCGCGCCUGCGCCCGCACUGCUGGGGC